Non-coding RNA from Schistosoma rodhaini, 45 nucleotides. Lineage: Eukaryota; Metazoa; Platyhelminthes; Trematoda; Strigeidida; Schistosomatidae. The record is from Rfam.
AUUCGGCUGACGAGUCCCAAAUGGGAUGAAACGCACAUCCUGGAU